Molecule: long non-coding RNA, 41404 nt
Filed under: Vitis vinifera (wine grape)
Lineage: Eukaryota; Viridiplantae; Streptophyta; Magnoliopsida; Vitales; Vitaceae
Description: long non-coding RNA (VVIN_LNC006210)
Source: RNAcentral
AAGGAACAGAGAUGGUAUUCUGAAAGGGAGGAUCCACCAGAUUAUAGCGCAAAGGGUCCUUAUUUCCAUCGAAAUUCCCAAAUCCCCAUCCAACAACAUAGAAACUGUAUCCAUGGAGAUGCAUGGGGUGGUGUGUCGCUGCAAGCACAUUUGUCCCUUGAAAAACAAUCUCCACUGUGGAGUUAUACUCGAGCACCCUUACUUCUGUUCCGCUGCUCGGCAACUGAUAGAUUAAUGGAAGAUAAUCAGCUGUAAAAUCGAACACCAGUGGUGGAUCACUAGGAAAUUUAUCUCCAUAUACACCACUGAUGUUAUAAUAGUAAGCUUGCAGUAUGUCAACUGUAGGGGUAUGGAAGCUUAUGUUGUUUAUACUUGAGGAGAAUCGCGUCCCAUUGGCCCCUGCACAUGAAUUAUUGACGCAUGGGUACGAGUUUACAGAAACAGUGUAAAUCAGGUUAGUGCUCGUGCUCAAUGGGACAUUGCAAGGAUGUUCCGCAUUUGCUAAGCUUCGGAGGCCGGCCAUGACCUGAACGGAUGCAUUUGUGUCAUUGUAUGCAGGAAGAUAAGGCAAGGAGGGAGGUGAAGAUGGAGUGUAGUAUCCGUUGUAUUGUACAAUAGCUGUGGUGGUUGUGUUAUCAUAAAAGUCUUGAUAUUUCGGGGCAACAGAAUAAGUUAUAGCCGCCAUGUAAUAGUGAUCCGGGCGUUGGUUAGCUUCUAGUAAGACAUCAUAGGUUUGGCCAGGAAAUAUUGUGAUAAAAUCUCGUGUCAAUGGUUUCGUGUAGCUACCAUCUGUUCCAACCACUGUCAUUUUAUGCUUGUCAAUGGAGAAGAAGAGAGCCUCAUGCAAGGCAGCAUUGAUUAUGCGAAGUAGAUAGGUCUUUCCAUGAUCCACCGUUAGCUUGAAUGUGUCUGCAAUUAGAGAGGGAAAGUUGUAUACUUAUGACUAGCCAAAAGAAAAAGAAAAAGUUUCCAUGAGGAUCCACUAAUUAUGAAGGGAUUGAUUGAUGAGGGGUGUAAAUUUGGCUCCAUAGUUCAAAAUUAUAUUUGGACUAGCCUUUUUUUGUGUUUUAAAUCAUGGCUCUACCAUCCUCAUAGCUAUAUUCCUCUUUCUUAGCAUUAAGCUUUAAAUAUGUUGAUGUUAAUAAGAAAAAGUAAUAUGGCUAACAUAUAAGAAAAUGAAAUUGUGUACAAUUUUAAAAUGGGAAGUUAAACUUUGUACCUGAUUUUGAGCAUGGAUAUAGAUCACCGGGUUGUCCAUUUAUCAAUAAAGCAUCAGAGGGGUCGGGGUCACCUCCGGUUGCAAGCCCUUCAUCUCGAACCGCAUUCACAUCAUUCUUCCACCAUUCUCCUGCAUUUCAACAACUUCAAUAAUUUUAGAUUUUGCUUUGUUGGUUAAUUCAUAAUAUGUAAAUUAACCUUUAAAAGUAACAACACUUAUACCUAAUAUGAUAGGGACCUCUCUGUCAGGUUUGUGAAAAGGAUACUUGGUUCCAUUCUUGGGAUAGAUAAUUAUAGCUCCAUGAACAGUGGCUCGGGUCCAAUCACUGUGAGCAUGCCACCAUAGAGUGCCUUCUUCAGUGGAAAGGAUGAUCUUCUGUGUAAACUUUGACCCUGGCCGAAUUGGGCAUUGUGUGAUAUACUCGGGACCAUCUGUCCAUGGAUAUCUAGGCAUGGUCACCCCAUGCCUGCGAAACCAUAACUAUACGUUAAAACUAGUACUAAUUUUCAAAGUAACAAAAGAUGGCAUGCAACAACAUAUUAUCAUAGUAACAAGAGGCAUCAAUUGUAUUUCAAUGGAACUAAAGCAAAUAACCUUAAAGUAUUGUUUUAAAUUUGACUUUAUUUUCAAAGUUAUAUAUUGUAGCCCCCUCUUAGAUAUAAAAGAAUGUAUGUCAUGCAAGCAUGCUACCACUGCUCUUUCUUUGAGACACGCACAGGACCUACCAAUGAAUGGUGAUGUUUUCGUUUCCCUUGUUAUAAACGUCGACAAUGAUCGUCUCUCCUUUCGUAGCAUAUAUGGUUGGUCCCGGAAAUUUUCCAUUUACUGUUAAGAUGUUCUUGGUGCUACAAAGCCUUUUAUAUGAAGCUUCCCUCACCUGCAACCAAUUAAAAGUUAGCCAUGCAACCUCAUCCCAAAAGAAAUAUUACAUGCAUGAAUAGUUGUAUCGAUCCAUUCAUGUAAGUGUAUAACCAAUUAGAAAUUGAUAGCAUGCAUGAAUGACUCAACGACACCAAGGUAGUAGGUCAUAUGGUACGAAAUGAGAGCCAUACCACUCCCUAAAUAUCAUGAUUACAAGGUGGCGUUAAGGCCAGAAUCAUAUAUAGAAUUUACCACAAAAGUAAGCCGACGGGUCGAAGCUUGGCAAUGGAUUCCACCACCAAAAACUAGAAACGCUAAAAUUUGCAGGAGGAAAACCUUCAUGAUCAGCCACAUUUUCCUUGGAAUAAAAGCCUCUUCUCUUGUCCUAAACACAACUCCUUCAAUUCUCUUACUGCUUUUGAUGUAUUUCUUUCAUAUAUGGUUCAUUAUAUAGGCAUGGUAAUUCUCUCGGGAUACAAUACGUGUCAAUAUAAGAGGAAGUGAUUUGAAUGUGUAUUGGUUUUCAAUGUUCUUUCAGGACGACUUCAAUGAGCAGGACCACUUCAAAAAUAAUUAAUUACGUACACGUUAUUGAUUAUUUUAGAAUAUUCUUUCAAAAGUCUUUUAUUGAUUAUUUCAACAAAUUUUAAUUAAUUAAAUAUAUGUAGAAUAAUUUUAAAACUUUGACUUCCCGUAUGAGUACAAUUUGUCAUGAUCGUUGGUGUAGAUAUAAAAAGAGACUAAAUUAAAGGAUUUUGAAAAUGUGUCGACAAGAACAUCAUUGAAAAAUUUGAAGGUUCCAAUUUUGUGGGUCAUGCAAUUUAUUGGACACUGAAUGGAUAAACAAGCCACGCUCUCCACUUAUUUUCUUUCAAUAUAUAAGCCUUGUACGUGAUGUUGGUUGACUAUUAUGAUAGUAAAUUCGGGAGGAUGUUUAAAUGGACGGGCAAGAUAAGAAAUAGAUUUUCUAUUAAGAUAUUUGAAUGGAGAUGAAAGCAUGGGUAUAGGUUUGUACUAAGGAAAUGAACAUAUGAUUAAAAUAAACCUGAUACAGUUAGUCUAUAAGAAUGGAUCCUGUUUCUAACCUUUUAACACACAAAUUUGGAAACCUAAACCUAUGGAUUGUUUCUUUCCUAUAAUGGAAUCCUAUGUUCCUUCUCAAAGCAGCGCUGACUUUUCCCUUCCUACCAACUACAAAGAGAAAAUCUUGACUAAUCUCGAUAAAGGUUUAUUUUAUCUAUACAUGCGAGGUCAAAGUUUUAAAAGUAUUCUACAUAUAUUUUAAAUUUAUUCUAAAAUAAUGUGUUUGAUUAAUUUCUUGGUCAAUUCUCAAAGUCAAACUUGUAUUUUGAAUUGGAAAAUUCUAGAGAUUCUAAGAAACUCGUCUUCUACGAUACACAACCUGAUUGAAGCUGAGCUGUGAGAAAUUUUCACAAUUGUUAGCAUUCUUCAGGCAUUUGGUUUAUUUAAAUUUUGGUAAUAGUCAUAUGAUAGUAAAUUCGGGAGGAUGCUUGCAUGCAUGGGCAUCAUGAUUUUUUUUGAGAUGUUUAAAUGGACGUGAAAGAUAAGAAAUAGAUUUUCUAUUAAGAUAUUUGAAUGGAGAUGAAAGCAUGGGUAUAGGUUUGUACUAAGGAAAUGAACAUAUGAUUAAAAUAAACCUGAUACAGUUAGUCUAUAAGAAUGGAUCCUGUUUCUAACCUUUUAACACACAAAUUUGGAAACCUAAACCUAUGGAUUGUUUCUUUCCUAUAAUGGAAUCCUAUAUUCCUUCUCAAAGCAGCGCUAAACCUAAACCUGAUACAGUUAAUCCUAUAUUUAAAAUACAAGUUUGACUUUGAGAAUUGACCAAGAAAUUAAUCAAACGCAUUAUUUUAGAAUAAAUUUAAAAUAUCCUUUCACAAGUCUUUUAUUGAUUAUUUCAACAAAUGUUAAUUAAUUAAAUAUAUGUAGGAUAUUUUUAAAACUUUGACCUCCCGUAUGAGUACCCUUCUGAAAAGUCGGGAGGAUGUUGGUUGACUAUUAUGAUAGUAAAUUCGGGAGGAUGCUUGCAUGUAACAAUUUUAUUUUAUUUUAUUUUAAAAUUUAUUCUAAAACCAUAGGUUUAGGUUUCCAAAUUUGUGUGUUAAAAGGUUAGAAACAGGAUCCAUUCUUAUAGACUAACUGUAUCAGGUUUAUUUUAAUCAUAUCUUCAUUUCCUAAGUACAAACCUAUACCCAUGCUUUCAUCUCCAUUCAAAUAUCUUAAUAGAAAAUCUAUUUCUUAUCUUUCACGUCCAUUUAAACAUCCUCCCGAAUUUACUAUCAUAAUAGUCAACCAACAUCACGUACAAGGCUUAUAUAUUGAAAGAAAAUAAGUGGAGAGCGUGGCUUGUUUAUCCAUUCAGUGUCCAAUAAAUUGCAUGACCCACAAAAUUGGAACCUUCAAAUUUUUCAAUGAUGUUCUUGUCGACACAUUUUCAAAAUCCUUUAAUUUAGUCUCUUUUUAUAUCUACACCAACGAUCAUGACAAAUUGUACUCAUACGGGAAGUCAAAGUUUUAAAAUUAUUCUACAUAUAUUUAAUUAAUUAAAAUUUGUUGAAAUAAUCAAUAAAAGACCUUUGAAAGAAUAUUCUAAAAUAAUCAAUAACGUGUAGGUAAAUAAUCAAGAACAUCUUAACAGUAAAUGGAAAAUUUCCGGGACCAACCAUAUAUGCUACGAAAGGAGAGACGAUCAUUGUCGACGUUUAUAACAAGGGAAACGAAAACAUCACCAUUCACUGGUAGGUCCUAUGCGUGUCUCAAAGAAAGAGCAGUGGUAGCAUGCUUGCAUGACAUACAUUCUUUUAUAUCUAAGAGGGGGCUACAAUAUAUUACUUUGAAAAUAAAGUCAAAUUUAAAACAAUACUCUAAGGUUAUUUGCUUUAGUUCCAUUGAAAUACAAUUGAUGCCUCUUGUUACUAUGAUAAUAUGUUGUUGCAUGCCAUUAUAGGAUUCCAUUAUAGGAAUAUAGUUAUGGUUUAGGUUUCCAAAUUUGUGUGUUAAAAGGUUAGAAACAGGAUCCAUUCUUAUAGACUAACUGUAUCAGGUUUAUUUUAAUCAUAUGUUCAUUUCCUUAGUACAAACCUAUACCCAUGCUUUCAUCUCCAUUCAAAUAUCUUAAUAGAAAAUCUAUUUCUUAUCUUGCCCGUCCAUUUAAACAUCCUCCCGAAUUUACUAUCAUAAUAGUCAACCAACAUCACGUACAAGGCUUAUAUAUUGAAAGAAAAUAAGUGGAGAGCGUGGCUUGUUUAUCCAUUCAGUGUCCAAUAAAUUGCAUGACCCACAAAAUUGGAACCUUCAAAUUUUUCAAUGAUGUUCUUGUCGACACAUUUUCAAAAUCCUUUAAUUUAGUCUCUUUUUAUAUCUACACCAACGAUCAUGACAAAUUGUACUCAUACGGGAAGUCAAAGUUUUAAAAUUAUUCUACAUAUAUUUAAUUAAUUAAAAUUUGUUGAAAUAAUCAAUAAAAGACUUUUGAAAGAAUAUUCUAAAAUAAUCAAUAACGUGUAGGUAAAUAAUCAAGAACAUCUUAACAGUAAAUGGAAAAUUUCCGGGACCAACCAUAUAUGCUACGAAAGGAGAGACGAUCAUUGUCGACGUUUAUAACAAGGGAAACGAAAACAUCACCAUUCACUGGUAGGUCCUAUGCGUGUCUCAAAGAAAGAGCAGUGGUAGCAUGCUUGCAUGACAUACAUUCUUUUAUAUCUAAGAGGGGGCUACAAUAUAUUACUUUGAAAAUAAAGUCAAAUUUAAAACAAUACUCUAAGGUUAUUUGCUUUAGUUCCAUUGAAAUACAAUUGAUGCCUCUUGUUACUAUGAUAAUAUGUUGUUGCAUGCCAUUAUAGGAUUCCAUUAUAGGAAUAUAGUUAUGGUUUAGGUUUCCAAAUUUGUGUGUUAAAAGGUUAGAAACAGGAUCCAUUCUUAUAGACUAACUGUAUCAGGUUUAUUUUAAUCAUAUGUUCAUUUCCUUAGUACAAACCUAUACCCAUGCUUUCAUCUCCAUUCAAAUAUCUUAAUAGAAAAUCUAUUUCUUAUCUUGCCCGUCCAUUUAAACAUCCUCCCGAAUUUACUAUCAUAAUAGUCAACCAACAUCACGUACAAGGCUUAUAUAUUGAAAGAAAAUAAGUGGAGAGCGUGGCUUGUUUAUCCAUUCAGUGUCCAAUAAAUUGCAUGACCCACAAAAUUGGAACCUUCAAAUUUUUCAAUGAUGUUCUUGUCGACACAUUUUCAAAAUCCUUUAAUUUAGUCUCUUUUUAUAUCUACACCAACGAUCAUGACAAAUUGUACUCAUACGGGAAGUCAAAGUUUUAAAAUUAUUCUACAUAUAUUUAAUUAAUUAACAUUUGUUGAAAUAAUCAAUAAAAGACUUGUGAAAGGAUAUUUUAAAUUUAUUCUAAAAUAAUGCGUUUGAUUAAUUUCUUGGUCAAUUCUCAAAGUCAAACUUGUAUUUUGAAUUAGAAAGUUCAAGAGAUUCUAAGAAAGUCGUCUUCUACGAUACACAACCUGAUUGAAGCUGAGCUGUGAGAAAUUUUCACAAUUCUUAGCAUUCUUCAGGCUUUUGGUUUAUUCAAAUUUUGGUAAGUAAUCAAAUAUCAUACACAACUUGAAGUGGUCCUGCACAUUGAAGUGGUCCUGGAAGAACAUUCAAAACUGCACAUUGAAGUGGUCCUGGAAGAACAUUCAAAACCAAUACACAUUCAAAUUACUUGGCUUAUAUUGAUACGCGUCGAGGAAUUGUUGAUACCCAAGCCACAUGUGAUCUGAUUUAAUGAAUCUCUGCCCUUCAUCCGAAGAAUUCUGGUGUUCUGGAUUGAUGGGAGCAAAAAGGUGACCAGUUUUACCUUGAGUCAAAUUCAAAUGACAAAAUAUAUUACCAGGGCAAUCAUGGACACCACCCUUAACUACAAAAAUAGCGCACACAGCCAAUCCCAUCAACCUAGUAUACACCAAUUUGGAGGCAGAUGUACCAUAUUACUGUGGAGUCUAUACUCUGUUGGCUGAACCACUCAAGAAUUCAACUUCCAGGAACAAAAGUACUGGAUUCAAUAUGUGGAGUAUAUGGCACCAUCUGGGUCAUGAAAAUCAAUGUCAAGUUAUAUGGAAAUAAUGUAGGAGUAGUGCUCAAAGGAGUAUAAGAAUUAUUCCAUAGGAUUUAAUUGAUUUACUUUUACAAUAUGAUCAAGAGAGAGAGGAGAGAAACCUGAAUUGGGAAUUGAAAUCUUGGUAAUUUAUUUGCCAGACUUUGCAUUUCCCUUAAUGUAGCUGCCACAAAGUUGCUGCUUUCAUUCUCAGACAGUCUGAAGCAAUUAGAAAAUGUGAAUCGGAGGCCCCCACAUUCCUUGGAUCUGUAGACACUUGAUGGACACAAAAUGUUUUCCAUAACUGUGCCAUCAUGGGCAUCUAUUUCUUCUAUACUUGAUGGAAGCUCUGGUAAUGAUUGAAGCCUCUUGCAACAACCCAGCCUAAGGCCUUUGAGCUGUGAAAGUUGAUUGAGACGUGCAGGUAGGGUAACAAAAUUGUUUCUGCUCAGAUCUAAAUAUUCCAAUGAGCACAGAGAGCUAAAGUCAUUGGGAAUUGCUCCUUCCAAUAUGUGGCAAUCACUUAGAUUUAACUUUCUUAGGGAUCUUAAACCAAAGAAAGAUGCAGUUGCCACACUAUUCUUAGAUUUAACUUUCUUAGGGAUCUUCAUAUUUAGUUUCAUAGGAAAGAUGUUUUCAAAGAAAUCUGCAUUCUUUGUUUCUAUUAUAGUAUUGACAUCUACCAGAUUAUUUUCUGACUUAGUAACAAGAAACCUAUAUGCCACACUAUUCUUAGCAUAGCCAAUGAACAUUGCAUCAAAGGUUUUAGGACCUAGUUUUCGUUUUUUAGGUUCGGGGAGAAGAACUUUAGCUAAACACCCCCACACUUUCAGGUAUGCUAUAUUAGGUGCAUAACCUUUCCACAACUCAUAAGGAGUUUUACUAGUUUUCUUGUAAGGUAUUCUAUUUUGAAUAUGGCAGGCGGAUAGGAUAGCUUCCCCCCACAAGUUCAAGGGUGCUCCUGAACUUACUAACAUUGCAUUCAUAAUUUCUUUUAAGGUCUUAUUUUUCCUUUAUGCUAUUCCAUUAGACUCAGGGGAAUAAGGAGGAAUAAGGAGGAGUAGUUUCAUGAAUGAUCCCAUGAUCUUCACAAAAAGAAUUAAAGGGGUUGGACUCAUACUCUCCUCCUCUUUCAGUUCUAAGCCUUUUAAUUUUCUUACUUAGUUGAUUUUCCAUUUCAUUUUUGUACUUGAUGAAAGCAUCUCUUGCUUCAUCUUUGUUUCUCAAAAGAUAUACCCUUGUAUACCUUGAGUAGUCAUCUAUGAAAGUUAUGUAGAAUUGUUUACCACCUCUAGUCAUUGUAUUUUUUAGGUCUCCUAAGUCACUAUGUAUUAAACUUAGUAGAUCUGAUUCUCUUUCAACUGAUUUGCAAGAUUUCUUUGUGGUUUUAGAUUCUACACAAGAUUCACAUUUUCCAUGGUUUUCUAAGGACAGAUUAGGGAUUAAACUCAAUUCAACCAUUUUCUUCAUAUAUGAAAAGUUCACAUGUCCUAGUCUACCAUGCCAAAUAUCACAAGAAUCAACUAUGUAAGCAAAAGAAGAAGAUGUAUUAUUAUUGAUAAUAUCAUAAACAUUCAACAUAAAUAAACCCUGAUUACAAUAGCUCUUUCCCACAAAUGCAUCAUUCUUGGUUAAAACUAUUUUAUCAUAGUCAAACAAGAUCCUCACUCCUGCUUUUCCAAGUAGAGAUACCGACACCAAGUUCCAACGGAUAUCUGGCACAUGAAGAACAUCACAUAGGGCAAGCACUUUUCCAGAUGUUAGCUUGAGGAGAACUUUCCCUUUGCCAAUCACUGGAGUAGAUCUAGAAUCACCCAUGAACACUUGGUCCUCUCCUUUCUUUAUAGUGGUAUAGGAAGUAAAUGCAUUUCUAUUCCCACAGAUGUGCCUAUUAACCCCAAAGUCUACCACCCAUUCCUUCAUAUUGGUGACCAUGCUCACCUCAGAGGAGAUUACUGUUGUGAUCACCUCUGUCUCUGCCAGAUUUGCCUUUGAACUGGUCUUCUCAAUUCUCUUCCUAUGGCGACAUUGAGUUGCAUGGUGUCUAGACUUGCCACAGACAAAGCAAUUACCGCGUUUUUUAAUAAUUAGAUUUUGGACCUUAUUUAAUGCAUUGGGCUUGGUCCUAAAGUUUUGUUUCCUGAACCUAUUAUUUUUGGGUUUAGAUUUUUCUUCUACUACAUUAGCUUUAGAAGACAAUUCCUUAGCUUUCUCAAUAUUGUCCCUAUUUCGGUUUUGUUCCUCAAUCCUAAUAUGGAUUAUGACAUCCUCUAAGGACAUUUGUUUCCUUUUAUGUUUCAUGUUGUUUUUAUAGUCUUUCCAAGACUCCGGAAGAGCCUCUACUAAAUAACCAGCCACAAAAGGUUCGGGUAAUUUAAUGUCUUCAAUAGCUAAGUCAUUAAUCAACAAGUGGUAGUCAUGGAUUUGAGAUGAGACAACUCUAUCCUCACUCAUUUGGAAAUUUAUAAAAUUCCCUAUGGCAUAUUUAUGAGUUCCCGCAUCUUGCAAAAUAUAUUUUUUAUUCAUUGCAUCCCAAAUUUAUUUUGCAACUUUAAAUUGACAAUAAAUAUCAAAAAGUUCAUUAGAAAGUGUACUCAGAAUAGCAUGGCUAACUUGUUUAUUUCCAGUUUCCCAGGUUGGUAACAUAUGAGAACCAUCUUCUGGUUUUGGAUCAGUCAAAAUAUGUCCUAAGUUCACCACAUCAAUUGUAGAGAAAACCCUUUCCUGCCAUCUCUUAAAGAAUGUCCCAUUAAAUGGAUUAAUUUUAGAGGUGUCAGGAUGGGUGUGAAUUAGGGAAGCUUUCAUUUGAAUUUAUUUCAAGAUUGUUGGAUUUUAAGGGUAUGGAAACAAAGACUAGCCCAAAAGACACAAACAAAGAACAUAAUGAAUAAAAAAAAAAAACUUAUCGGCUGAGGCAUGACAAGCACUGUCCUUGAAAUAGAUCCACCCUCCUCGAAGACGAACUCGGUGCACUAUGUGAGAAAGGGUAUAAAUAAUGUGAGAUAAGGUACAAAAAAAUGUGAAAAAAUGUACGAAUAAUGUGAGAAAAUGGUAUGCACAAUGUUAUAAAAUGGUAUGAACAAUGUGAAAAAAGAUACAAAUAAUAUGAGACAUGGUAUGAAUUAUGUGAGAGGGGAUACAAAUAAUGUGAGGGAAGGUACAAACACUAUGAGAAAGAGUACAAACAAAACAAGGAAAUGUACGAACAAUGUGAUAAAUGGUAGGAAAAAUGUAAGACAUGGUAUGAACAAUGUAAGAAAAAUAAAAAAUAGAUAAGAUUAAUAAAUUAUUUUUUCAUUAAUAUAAAUUAAAUAAUUAAAAUACCUAAGUUUUUCAAAAAUUUUAAUCAUGGUAGUGGGCCUUUGAUCAACCAAAGAUAGCCCAUGUAUCAUUUUCCAAAGUGAAGCACAACAACCUUAUAACAGUGAUGUCACAUAGCAAUUCAUUAUUCAUUAUUUUGUUUUCCCUUUUCAAUGUGGAUUUUCUUAAAGCUAUUAAAAAAACACACAAAAUCAAGAUUUGAGCAUGGGUCUUUCACAAUAUCUUUUAUAUACUAAUAAUUAUAAAUUAAUUAAAAUGAAAUUAUUAUAAAUAAGUUAAUUUUAAUUAUCUUAUUAUGUCUCAUAUAAAGUGAUUAGAUAUAGGAUAAAUAUAAAUUUAUAAAUAAAAUUAUUAACAUUUUCAAAUAAAAAAUAUAAAUAUAUAUCAAUUUUUUUUAUAUCCUUUAGUAUAUCUAAACUUAAUGCAUUAUCAUUUUAGUAUUAAUAUUUCCCAAUUCGGUAUAUUAUUGUCUGAGAUUACAAAUUUAUUAUACAUUUAUCAAUUUUUCUUAAAACAAUAUCAUUAUAUACAUUAUUACUUUUCUAUCAUUUUUUGAGUUAUUUCCAACAUUUCAUAAGGUUUUAUCAAUUUCCAUCUUAUAUAUAUAUAUAUAUAUAUUUCAGAAUUUUCAUUGAUAUUUCUUUAUAUAUCUAUAAACUCCAACUAAUGAUAUAUCGGUAAAAAUCAAUAUUUUUAUUCUUACUUAACAUAAGAAAGAAAAUUAUUCAAAUGGUGCAUAAAUUAAUGUGACCUCCUGAUGAGAAUGACAAUGACAACCAUGAGUCAUAAUUAGUGUAUGUGUGUGGUAAAUUAACUUAGUGUUUGAUAAAAUAAUUAUUUAUCAUCAUUUAAAAUUUAAAAAUAAAUUUAAAUGUUAAAUCAAAAUAAUUAACUUAUUCUAAAUACUAAUUUUUUUUAUUCUCUUUGUUCAUAUUUGGUGAUAACCAUGCUUUAUUUUUAGAAUUCUUUUUUUUUUUAGUAAAUAUUUUGUAGUUAUUUUGUAGCUUCACAAUAGUACUUUUUAAUAUAAAUGUUUAACAAGCUUGAGUUUAUGAAGAUAAAUAUUAAGAAAAAUUAAUGAGUUUAAAUAUAUCAAUAUAAUAACUUUUAAAAAAUUAAGUUGAUUUUACCAAAAUAAAAAUAAAAAUAAUUCAUCUUAAAAUUAAUUUCAAUAAUUAAGUAAUAAGGAUUAAGUUUUAUCAUACACUCUCUUAAUUAAUAAAUGACAUAACUUCUUUCAACAACUUCUUCGUUCUACUUUUGAAAAAAAAUAAUAAUAAUGUGAUAUUUAUUUAUUUAUGUCUAAAAUUUAAAUAUACUUGAAUUUGACUUAAAUCUAAAUAUAGCUUAAUAUUAUUAAGUGUUCAGACUAUUUUUUUUUAUUUGUGUCUAAAUAUUAUUAACUGUUAAAUUGUUUCUUUUUAUUAAUAUCAAAAUAUGUGAAGUGUUAAAUUUAUUUAUUUUUGGUUAAAAACAUUUAUAAAAGUAAUUGUUAUAUUUCUUCUUAUUUUAAUUUGAAAAGUUAUAAUUUAACAAAAUAGUAAUUUAAUUAACACAUCUAAAAAAUAUUAUAAUACAUUGUCAAAGUAAAAAUUUUAUAAUGAUAAUUAUGUAAUUAGUAAAUUAUAUUAUUGUACAAUCCAUUGUUCCAUGUCGUAUAAUAUAGAAUAGCUAUGCAUACCCAUCAGUGCAUAGACAUAUAUCUUUUGAUAAUCUAUCAUGAAUGUCACCUGGACUCUAAGUGAAGUAUGUAGCUAUUAUACUAUAAAGAUGGCAUAGGAAGAGGCUCCGGGUUUACUAGUUCUCACUCAACCAUAGAAAUAGGGAAUAUAUUGCACAUUAUUUUCAUCUAAAAGAAAGGUAGAAAGACCUUAGAAAUGGAACUUUUAGAUAAAACCUAAGGGUGGCAAUGAGAUGAGUCUAAGAAGGAUCACCUCAAUCUCAAUCUUAUGCCAUUUAUUUAUAUUAAAUGGGGUGAGAUAAGACAAAAUUAUAUUCGAACCUGUCUUGAAUUUGGUUCGAGGGCAAGAAGGGUCUUUACAAAAAUCAGCCUCAUUGUCAUUCUUAGGUACGCAUCUAUACCAAUGAAAGUUUUUACAUCUAUUAAAAAAUUUAAUGUUCCCGAUGUUAAUUAACUUCACCAGACUACAUACACUUCAUAAUCGUGAAAAAGUGUUAAAAUUCUCAACCAAUCAAUGACAUAAACUACAAUCAAGUUUAGUACAUCGUAACCCUAAAAUACCUCCAAACCCCAUUUCUUGUAAGACCCCCUUCUGAUUAGGUUGCAAAUGUUGAAGUGCAUUAUACAACUAAUUAGGCGAACAACAAGUGUCAAGGUAAGACUGCAAGCCAUACAUAUACAUAUGCAUAUAAAUUCGAAAUUGAAAGAAAAUAUUAUCAAAUUUUAAAAAGAUAAAUUUCAAUUUUUUUUUUGUCUUUGAUACAUUUUUUGAGCUUGUACCAUUUUGUUUUACAUAUUCAUUGGAGUAUUUCUUCAUCAUGGGUCUUCAUCCAUUAGGGCACCAAGGAGAGCAAGUUCAUUGGCACGUGCUUUAAUGGUAUGUAGGAAGGUAGUGAUGCUUUGCAAACCCUUGGUGUGAUUCUUAAGGUGGUUGUUGACUUGUUUAAUGUAGACAUGUGAUAGUUUGACAUAGGUAUUGGUGAAGAUGAUCUAUGCUUCACGAAAGGUUGUGGCACAGGCAAUGAAUGGAAUUAUGGUGGGUGAAACGGAGCCAAUAAGUGCAUUUAGGAUCAAUUGAUCUUGAUGAAGCAAGAAUAGGUUGGGUUGGGUAUUACAGUGUCGUUGGCAUAGUGGUGGGUGGACAAGGUUUGGUUCUAUCAAUAUAGCUAAGGCGGUCAAAGCCAAUAAAUAGUGUUUGGAAUUGAAAUCUUUAUGAUAUAUAGUUGGUAGUGGUUAGUUUAAGUGGGGCUCGAGCAAAAACAUUUAUUGAGAUGAGUAUUUGGUGUGACUCAUGGGUGUUGUGAAUAUUGAGAGUAGAAGUUACAGAAGUGGUGACAUCUUAGGUGGCCAUGAGGCUAUGAUGAUGGGGAGGAGCAUUAGAUGGCUUUGGCAUAGAAAAAGAGGUAAGAAGGAAGAACAAGUGGUGGUGAGGGUUUUCAGGUUAAGAAGCUUGAAUGCUCUGAUGUCAUAUUGAAGAAUGAGAUUGGUAAAUUAUUUUUCUAGGUUGAUUCUAUGUUGCUUAUAUGCAUGAUUCACCAAGGGUUUCUGACAAGCAUUAGCUAAGGGUGGCUGAACCCAAUGACAGACCAGAUGAAGGAUUAAUAAUAUAUUGCACUCCAGCAGUUCAACCAAUUCCCUUCGUUUCCUUAAUGACUUCUUUUGGUGACCUAUCAAUUUCUCUCUUGGAAAGUCUAGUAAUGGGUUGCCAAUUACCUAAAAGUUACUUCUGAGGUUUUGUUUUGUUGAUUCUAUGCUAACUGAUAAUCUGCAGAGGAAACAACUUGUUCGUCUGGAGAAGGUCUUGAAGCAUGCACUGUGAUGAAUUUGACCAGAAGAGUAAACUCAUCAAGUCCAUAUUAAGUCAUCAGGUUCCAGUAGAGCUAUUUCAAAAACUUCUUUAAUGCAUUAGCAUUUAAAAAUUGAAACAAUAAAAUAACAUAUAUUAUUGAUACUAUCAUUUAAAACAAGAAAUAUAUUGUUGAUAAUGGCAUUUAAAACAAUAAAAUAGUGCAUUAGACCUGCAUUCAAAUCUUCAAUUCUCAAACACCACCAACCCACCCAUGAAUAGAGAAAGAGAAGAGAACCCUAGCAAAAGUAGAGAGGUUCGAUUCUCAAAUCUUCAAUUUUCUUUUUAUGUGUUCAAGUCAUUUUUAUUUGUUAAAUGAUUCCAGCUACUACUUGGGUCUAGUAUUUCCUUGGUGUAUAUAUCAUGCACUUCUCAGUAGAAUGCCCAUAGACAUGGAGAAACAAUUUUUUAUUUAUUUGCAAUGCCUAAUAUAAAUUAAUAAGCACCUAAUUUUUUGUUUCAGCUAUGAAUGGUAUUUUUCUCUAGAUCAUAAGUACGUUGGUUGAAUUUUAAAAAAUUUAUACCAUUUCAGCGACUAAUUAAUAUCAUGCAAUAGAAAAACAAAGUUGAAAUUUGGGAUAAUAAAUAUCAUUAAAGUACAAAGAAAGUAACUUAUUGGGAGCAAAUUCUUCACAACCUGGCAUUCGCCUUUAGAUUAAAUAAUUUAUUAAUAAUCUCCUCUUUCUUUCUAAACUUAUACCGCUGUUUAUGAAAGUUUCUAAAAACCAAAGCCCAAAGCCUAGACUAUAAAAAGGAAAUAAUCACUUGGAGAGGGGUUGUUUGUUUUUCUUGAGAGCCUAAUAAAUGCAACGACAUAGACAGAAAGAGGCGGAAGAGUUGAGUCGGAGGAUCAAGAAACACAACCAUUCUUCUCUUUCAUUAGGGUUUUUGGCUGACUCUAAGGCCGUCUUACCUUCCUCUUAGAAUGAUGGCCUCUCGUUUCUAUACAUAUCCUUUCAUGCAUUUUCUGGCUCUCCCAUUCUCUUUUUCAAAGCUACGUCUUUCCUCAUAGACCCUGUUUGGUUUCUAAGAAAGUGGUCUAGGUCUCUUUCUUUUUCUUGAUUUAUCUUUUGGUUUACAAGAAUCAGCGACACAAUAAGACUGCCAUGAACGCAUGACGCAGCCACGUGGGAGAAGGCAGCAACCACUUUCGCAUUUUUACUAUGUAUCUCCAGAAACUCCUUUGUACAGCCCACACACGCGCUAAUGAAGCAGAUUCAGCAGAUUUUAAGAGGGGGAAUCUUGAAACCACACAACAUCAAGAGACUUGGCCGGAAGUGUGAUGAUGGGUGUUUCCGAAGAAGAGUUAUAAUUCGCCCACUGUUAAAUAUGGUCAUAGCCGUGAAGGGUCCCACGAGCCUUGAAUUUGUCACUACAUGCAAAAUAUAUGCAGAAGUGAUUGAAAAUGCAUGGCCACCUUUUCCUGCAUGUGAAUGUGUUGAGCUCUAUGGUGCAAUUACUAAUGGAAUUCUCAAUUUAGCUGAUAAGUAUUUUGAGAUGCAAAAGCAUGAUGCUGUCCGGGCAUCGGAAAUUUAUCAGAAAGCAGGAGAGCCAUCAAGCAUUCACUCGACAAGCAAGAGUAACACAUAGGCCACACCAUUCUCCAAAUAGACACAACAACAUACAUUCUUGAAGGCAAGUCCCUUUUUAAAAUUUUAUCUUAGUUUAAUUUUAAUUUAUUUAGUUAGUUUAGAUGUUUUUUUCAAAAUUAGUUUAAUUAAUUCUACAUGAUAAAGCUCUUAUUUUUCAUUUCGAUUUAGUUUAGUGUUGAUUUUUCUUUUAGUUUAAGUGUGUUUGCGAUUUUAAUUCAAUAGCUUAAUUAUUCUUAUUAGAUAAAGUUCAUAUAUAUAUAUAUAUAUAUAUAUAUAUAUAUAUUAUCCCAAAUUAGUUUAGUUUUAAUCUAUCUUUUAGUUUAAGUGUGUUAGUAAUUUUAAUUUAGUUGUUUAAAUAAUCAUGUGAGAUAAAGUUCAUGUUUUUAAUUCUAAUUAGUUUCAUCUUAAUUUAUUCUUUAGUUUAGAUUUGUUGUUGACAGUAAUUUACUAUUUUAAUUAAUCUUAUUAGAUAAAGUCUAAUUAAAAUUAGGUUAGUUUUAAUUUAUUCUAUAGUUUGAGUGUGUUUGCGAUUUUAAUUCAAUUGUUUAAUUAAUCCUCUUAGGUAAAGAUCUUGUUUUUAAUUCCGAUUUAGUUUAGUUUUAAUUUACUUAUUUAUUUAUUUUAGUUAAGAUGUGUUUGUAAUUUUAAUUCGACAAUUUAAUCGACCUUAUUAGAUAAAGUUGAUGUUUUUAAUUCCAAUUUAGUUUAAUUUUAAUUUAUUUUUUAGUUUAAAUGUGUCUGUGUGUUUAAUUGACCUUAUGCUAGCUCUUGAUUUGUUAUUCUCAAUUUAGGUGUUUUCUUGAAUCUUAGUCAUUAAUUCUUGGUGGAUAUCUCAUUAGUUUAUUUUAUCUAAGUCUUAAUAAUUUAUUAUUUCGAUAGUCUCUUGUCAAAUUUACUUUUCAGAGGCCAUCGGAAAAUAGUGAAGAUUGACCUCCAUUCUCACCACUUUAGUUUGUUUGGUUGUCAAAAUUUUUACUUUGUGAUUUUGUUUGCUUUUAUUUUGCUUGUUUCUUAUGUUUUGAUUGUUUUCAAAUUAAUUUCUUUUAUUUUAAAAUAAAAUAUUUUUCUCAAAAGAUCCAUUUGAAAAUUCUAUUUUAAAAAUCAUUCAUUUAGACUCCUUAGAAUCAAAAUCUCAUUUUUUAAUAAUAUGUAACCAUGUCUUGAUCGGUUUGUAUCUUUCACAGUUUUCAAUCAAAAUUCCGAUUUGGAAUGGAAUAUGAAUCCGAGCUUGUGGUCCCAAACAAAUGGGAUAAUUCUGGUCUAGAUUUGUGUAUAUCAAUUGAGGAAUUGGUGGAACCCCUACAUAAGAAAAUUCUUCAAAACUCAUCUUUGCAGCCACCUUUGCUAUUUCAUGAAAUCAUGUAUAUUUAUUAUUUAGGAAUUAUAUACAAGAUGUAUGUGAUAAUUGAUGAUUUCGUAUACUUUGAUCAUUUUUGCUAGGCUAAUUAGAUAACAAGCACAUUAGGAUUUUUUUUAUUUUAUUAUCUAACCCCUCAUGUCUUGUAGAAGCAUGUUACAAGUCAUCUAUCCUAAUAUAUAUUUUAUUAUAUAUUAGUUUUUUUUUUCUUUUUUUAAUCCUAUCUAUGUUGUUGAUAUUAAUGCAUUGAAUUUGAUGCUACCUAAAACAAAAUUAUAUUUCAUGUCCUCUAUUAUAAGUGGACAAUCAUUCCUUAUUUUAGAUUUUAGAUAAAGAACGAAUAAUGAAGAUUGGAGUUGUAAGAAAUUAGGAGAUCCUAAUUUUAAAUAUGUAACAAAGUUCUAUAAUCACUCCAGUACGUUUAAAAUUUGUAUUUCUUUCUAAUAUGGGAGCAAACUUUUUCCUUCUUUCUUAUAAUUUUCAUUUGGGAAUGAUUUAAAAAUAAAUAAAUAAAGGCCCUUCUAAAUAUUAAAAAAACACUCUCUUAUAAAAAUUAAUUAGGUGGAUGGUAAGGUCAAAUUCGGGAUAGCUUCAUAUUUUUUGCUUUAACUGAAAAUUAAAAUCAAAAUUAAAGUAAGAAUUUUUAAGAUGUUGUAAAAGUUUUAUUAAACAUGAAAGAACUUAUUGUGUAAACAAAAAUAGAACUAUAGAAUUUUUAUAAGAAAUAACAUUUUUAUGACUUCUAUAUGAAACCUUUUUUAAAAGUGAUAAGUUUUUUUUUUUAAAUAAUUAAAUAGGUAUAAAAACUUUUAUUCAACUUAAUUUUUUUUAACGGUUAAAAGUCAAUUCAAAUAAAAUUUAAAUAUAUUUGAAAAUCAUUUUUAAAAAUAAAAAAAAAAAACCACUUUUUUUUUAAUUUACAUUUAAUUCAUGAAAUUUCAUUUAUUGUUAUUUAUUUUCGGGAUUUAAUUCUUUGCAAUUGUUUUUGAGUGUUUAUAAAGUAUAAUUAGGUUAUGCCCAAAUUUAUUCCUUUAACUCUAUCCAUUAGAUAUAAGUAGCGUGAAAUUUUGGCCCAUCUCCACCUUUCUUCACUUCUGACAUUGUCAUGCACUACUUCAUCAACUCCAAACACAACCGCUGAGGAUCGAAGAAAAUGAGACAAUGGUCAAUAAAAUGAAAGUUUAAUCAUUUAAUCUUUUUUAGCACACCCCUCAUAACUGUCAGUGAUUUCCUGCCAACUUAACAUAUUGACAUGGACUUGGAGAGUUCGGUCAAUUGCAGCAGCUUGGUUAAUUGUAAGUGUCUUUUCUCUAAACCAUAAAUUCCUACGUUUUAAUUUACAAAAGCCAGUGAUUUUUUUUUACUUAAGGAAGCAGGAAAGGGUUUAAAAUAAGAGUUGAAAAGUAUGCCAAUUAUUUUAACUUUAAGAAAAAACGUUUAUUUUAAUUUAAAAUAAGUAAAUCAAAAGGAAUUGAUUUUAUCUCAAUUGUAUAAGAUUUUAUAAAAAUUAUCUUAUUUGCAAAAUAUUUUCAGAUGUAAAAGUAAAAAAUUAAACAAAUCAUUUGAUGAUCAUAGUCUAAUUUUAAAUUAUUAGAAUAAGUCAAUCCUCUAAACUAUAUCAUUUAUAAUUUUUUUGAUUAUUAAUAUGAUACGUAACCUUCCACGGAAUUGGAAUAAAAUAUGGAUAAUUAAAAAAUGUCAACUAUCCCAUUUCAAACUUUUCUAAUAUAGCAUGAUAUUUUAACAUGAUGAAUGAAAUGGGAAUGACCAAAAAUUGUAAAAUCAAAGAUAUAUCUAUUGUGGACAUGGCAUUCGGAGGCUUCUUAACAUUGUAUUGGUCUACUUAAUGAGUUGAAACAGGAACACAACACCAAAUUCUCUUUUUAUAAUCAAAGACUUCCAUGGAAAAUUCCACCAUAUCAUAUCUCAAAGAUUAGUCAAAUUCCAUUAUCUUUAUAGACUUUUAACAAUCCAAGAAAUUGACAUUAAUAAUCCCAUACACAAUAUUCUACAACUUUACAUUAUCUUGAUUGAAGAUAAUCAUAUUAUUUCAUUAACAAUUCAAGAAAUUCCAUUAUCAAUCAAAAAAUAAAUCAUGAAAGCUAAAUAAUACAAAUAUUCAAUGAAAUCUUUGGCGUGUUAUUUCUUUACAGCUUCAACAUGGUGGCAUGUCCGACGGAGGAGGCAGCAUUUGAGCUUCCGGGUGUUUACCAUUUUUCAUUAUGAACGCAGUUUCCAUGCCCCAAGUCAGAUGGCGUUCUACAUGGCAGUGCAUGAACCACACUCCUGCAACAGAGAAAAUAUACCAACAUUACACCUAACUUAAUUGUAAUAUUAAGAAAAAUUAUUUCCUUGGUAUGCAGGUUAGCAGUUUCAAGGGUUUUUAUUUUUUAUUUUUAAUAGACGACAUGAGUGCUUGGAACAUACCAGGGUUGGAUGCCUCAAAUCUGAUUGCAACCCAACCAUUCGAAGGAACGGAGAUGGUAUUCUGAAAGGGAGGAUCCACCAAAUUAUAGCGUAAAGGGUCCUUAUUUCCAUCGAAAUUCCCAAAUCCCCAUCCAACAACAUAGAAACUGUAUCCAUGGAGAUGCAUGGGGUGGUGUGUUGCUGCAAGCACGUUUGUCCCUUGAAAAACAAUCUCCACUGUGGAGUUAUACUCGAGCACCCUUACUUCUGUUCCGCUGCUUGGCAACUGAUAGAUUAAUGGAAGAUAAUCAGCUGUAAAAUCGAACACCAGUGGUAGAUCGCUAGGAAAUUUAUCUCCAUAAACACCACUGAUGUUAUAAUAGUAAGCUUGUAGUAUGUCAACUGUAGGGGUAUCGAAGCUUAUGUUGUUUAUACUUGAGGAGAACCGCGUCCCAUUGGCCCCUGCACAUGAAUUAUUGACGCAUGGGUACGAGUUUACAGAAACAGUGUAAAUCAGGUUAGUGCUUGUGCUCAAUGGGACAUUGCAAGGAUGUUCCGCAUCUACUAAGCUUCGAAGGCCGGCCAUGACCUGAACCGACGCAUUUGUGUCAUUGUAUGCAGGAAGAAGAGGGAAGGAUGGAGGCGAAGAUGGAGUGUAGUAUCCGUUGUACUGUACAAUAGCUGUGGUGGUUGUGUUAUCAUAAAAAUCUUGAUAUUUCGGGGCAACAGAAUAAGUUAUAGCUGCCAUGUAAUAGUGAUCCGGGCGUUGGUUAGCUUCUAGUAAGACAUCGUAGGUUUGGCCAGGAAAUAUUGUGAUAAAAUCUCGUGUCAAUGGUUUCGUGUAGCUACCAUCUGUUCCAACCACUGUCAUUUUAUGCUUGGCAAUGGAGAAGAAGAGAGCCUCUUGUAAGGCAGCAUUGAUUAUGCGAAGUAGAUAGGUCUUUCCAUGAUCCACUGUUAGCUUGAAUGUGUCUGCAAUUAGAAAGGGAAAGUUGUAUACUUAUGACUAGCCAAAAAAAAAACAAAAAGUUUCCAUGAGGAUCCACCAAUUAUGAAGUGAUUGAUUGAUUAGGUGUGUAAAUUUGGCUGCAUAGUUCAAAAUUAUAUUUGGACUAGCCUUUUUUUUGUGUGUUAAAUCAUGGCUCUACCAUCCUUAUAGCUAUAUUCCUCUUUCUUAGCAUUAACCUUUAAAUAUGUUGAUGUUAAUAAGAAAAAGUACUAGGGUUAACAUACAAGAAAAUGAAAUCAUGUACAAUUUUAAAACGGGAAGUUAAACUUUGUACCUGAUUUUGAGCAUGGAUAUAGAUCACCGGGUUGUCCAUUUAUCAAUAAAGCAUCAGAGGGGUCAGGGUCACCUCCGGUUGCAAGCCCUUCAUCUCGAACCGCAUUCACAUCAUUCUUCCACCAUUCUCCUGCAUUUCAACAACUUCAAUAAUUUUAGAUUUUGCUUUGUUGUUUAAUUCUUAAUAUGUAAAUUAACCUUUAAAAGUAACAACACUUAUACCUAAUAUGAUGGGGACCUCUCUGUCAGGCUUGUGAAAAGGAUACUUGGUUCCAUUCUUGGGAUAGAUGAUUAUAGCUCCAUGAACAGUGGCUCGGGUCCAGUCACUGUGAGCAUGCCACCAUAGAGUGCCUUCUUCAGUGGAAAGGAUGAUCUUCUGGGUAAACUUUGACCCUGGCUGAAUUGGGCAUUGUGUGAUAUACUCAGGACCAUCUGUCCAUGGAUAUCUAGGCAUGGUCACCCCAUGCCUGCGAAACCAUAACUAUACGUUAAAACUAGUACUAAUUUUCAAAGUAACAAAAGAUGGCAUGCAACAACAUAUUAUCAUAGUAACAAGAGGCAUCAACUGUAUUUCAAUGAAACUGAAGCAAAUAACCCUAAAGUAUUAUUUUAAAUUUGACUUUAUUUUCAAAGUAAUAUAUUGGAGCCCCCUCUUAGAAAUAAAAGAAUGUAUGCCAUGUUGGCAUGCUGCCACUGCUCUUUCUCUGAGACACGCAUAGGACCUACCAGUGAAUGGUAACGUUUUCGUUUCCCUUGUUAUAAACGUCGACAAUGAUCGUCUCUCCUUUCGUAGCAUAUAUGGUUGGUCCCGGAAAUUUUCCAUUUACUGUUAAGAUGUUCUUGGCACUACAAAGCCUUGUAUAUGAAGCUUCCCUCACCUGCAAUCAAUUAAAAGUUAACCAUGCAACCUCAUCCCAAAAGAAAUAUUACAUGCAUGAAUAGUUGCAUCGAUCCAUUCACGUAAGUGUAUAACCAAUUAGAAAUUGAUAGCAUGCAUGAACGACUCAAUGACACCAAGGUAAUAGAUCAUACGGUAUGAAAUGAGAGCCAUACUACUCCUUAAAUAUCAUGAUUAGAAGGUGGCGUUAAGGCCAGAAUCAUAUAUAGUAUUUACCACAAAAGUAAGCCGACGGGUUGAAGCUUGGCAAUGGAUGCCACCACCAAAAACUAGAAACGCUAAAAUUUGCAGGAGGAAAACCUUCAUGAUCAGCCACAUUUUCCUUGGAAUAAAAGCCUCUUCUCUUCUCUUGCCCUAAACACAACUCCUUCAAUUCUCUUACUACUUUUGAUGUAUUUCUUUCACAUGUGAUUCAUUAUAUAGGCAUGGUAAUUCUCUCGGGAUACAAUACUUCCUCUCCACGUGUCAAUAUAAGAGGAAGUGAUUUGAAUGUGUAUUGGUUUUUAAUGUUCUUUCAGGACGACUUCAAAAUAAUUAAUUAUGAUAUUUCUUACAAGUUACCUACGCGUUCUUUUAGAAUAAAUUUAAAAUAUUCUUUCACAAGUCUUUUAUUGAUUAUUUCAACAAAUGUUAAUUAAUUAAAUAUAUGUAGGAUGCUUUUAAAACUUUGACCUCCCUAUGAGUAGCCUUCUGAAGAUCGUUGGUGGCAAAGUUGUUUUCGUAUAGUUAAUACAAUUUGUCAUCGUCGUUGUUUUCGUUUGAAUGGGACAAAGUUGUUUCCAAUUUUUUUUAAAACUUGGGAAUUGAGAUUAUAAAAGACAAAGUUGUUAAUACAACUUCAGAAUCGAUGAUAAACUAAUUCGGUAUUUCAGAAUUUUCCAUAAAAAAACACAAAAAUAUAUUUUGUAAAAAGUUGAAAAUAGGAUACAAACAACCCCUUGUAGUAUUUUUUUUUUUCUCAACAAAAACCAAUUUAAUAACAAUAAUAAUAAAUAAUUAUAGAUUUAAAAGAUAAUCUGAAAUUUCUUUCAAUAUAUAAGCCUUGUACGUGAUGUUGGUUGACUAUUAUGAUAGUAAAUUCGGGAGGAUGCUUGCAUGUAAAAAUUUUAUUUUAUUUUAUUUUUAAUCAUGGAGCACAUUUUGAUAGAUUCUGAUUUAUAAUACUGCAUCAAUGGUCAUGAACAUUGCAAUCAUGAUUUUUUUUGAGAUGUUUAAAUGGACGUGAAAGAUAAGAAAUAGAUUUUCUAUUAAGAUAUUUGAAUGGAGAUGAAAGCAUGGGUAUAGGUUUGUACUAAGGAAAUGAACAUAUGAUUAAAAUAAACCUGAUACAGUUAGUCUAUAAGAAUGGAUCCUGUUUCUAACCUUUUAACACACAAAUUUGGAAACCUAAACCUCUGGAUUGUUUCUUUCCUAUAAUGGAAUCCUAUAUUCCUUCUCAAAGCAGCGCUGACUUUUCCCUUCCUACCAAAUACGAAGAGAAAAUCUUGACUAAUCUUGAUAAAGUUUUAAAAGUAUUCUACAUAUGUUUUAAAUUUAUUCUAAAAUAAUGUGUUUGAUUAAUUUCUUGGUCAAUUCUCAAAGUCAAACUUGUAUUUUGAAUUAGAAAAUUCAAGAGAUUCUAAGAAACUCAUCUUCUAGGAUACACAACCUGAUUGAAGCUGAGCUGUGAGAAAUUUUCACAAUUGUUAGCAUUCUUCAGGCAUUUGGUUUAUUUAAAUUUUGGUAAGUAAUCAAAUAUCAUACACAACCUGCUCUUUGAAGUGGUCCUGGAAGAACAUUCAAAACCAAUACACAUUCAAAUUACUUCGCUUAUAUUGAUACGCGGCGAGGAAUUGUUGAUACCCAAGCCACAUGUGAUCUGAUUUAAUGUAGCUGCCACAAAGUUGCUACUUUCAUUCUCAGACAGUCUGAAGCAAUUAGAAAAUGUGAAUCGGAGGCCCCCACAUUCCUUGGAUCUGUAGACACUUGAUGGACACAAAAUGUUUUCCAUAACUGUGCAAUCAUGGGCAUCUAUUUCUUCUAUACUUGAUGGAAGCUCUGGUAAUGAUUGAAGCCUCUUGCAAUAACCCAACCUAAGGCCUUUGAGCUGUGAAAGUUGAUUGAGGCUUGCAGGUAGAUUAACAAAAUUGUUUCUGCUCAGAUCUAAAUAUUCCAAUGAGCACAGAGAGCUAAAGUCAUUGGGAAUUGGUCCUUCCAAUAUGCGGCAAUCACUUAGAUUUAACUUUCUUAGGGAUCUUAAACCAAAGAAAGAUGCAGUUGCAAACGCCUAGAGCGUGGAAUUUCUGCAGGCAACAACUGGAAAGAGAGGAGCAAAUUCCUUGGCUUGGAUUCUAGUCCUUUACAUCCCUCAAAUGAUAAUACUUCAAGGUUUUCUGAAAGAGAAAUAGAGGGCGGCAGCUCUUUUACAGAGUUCCAGCUGCUCCGAGCUUCUCUAAACCUUGUAGGCUCCCCGAACCUCUGGCAAAUUGUCUAGUUUUGAGCAACCAGAUGGAAUAAGAGUUUGAAGAGAUUUCAACUUACAAAUGCUAUGUGGAAGAAUUGCAAGGCUUUUGCAUUCUCUCAGAUUCAACAGAACAAGUCCACUUAGAUGUUGGAUAGGUGAAGUUAGCUCUUUUAGAGCAGUUCCAUCUAAGAAAAGUUCCAACAAACUCCCCAUAUUUUCCAAGACUUCUGGAAGCUCUUUUGAGUUUUAAGCAAUCUGAGAGAAUAAGAAUUUCAAGGGAUCUCAACCUAUAAAUACAGCUUGGUAAUGACUCAGGGUUUUGACAGUUCCUCAGAUUUAAUAAAACAGGUCCAGUCAGAUAUUCAAUCGACAAGGGCAAUCCUUUUACUGCAGUGCCCUCCAAGGAAAGCUCUGAUAAAUGUUUCAUGCACCCUUGGACCUCUGGAAACUUCUUGAGUUUCGAGCACCCGGAGAGAGUAAGAAUUUUGAAGAGAUUCCAUACAGAUGCUUCUUAGAAAACUCUUAAGAUUCUCGCAGCCUUCUAAAUUAAGGAAAACAAGCUUGUUUAGAUCUCCAGUGGAUGGGUGAACCUUGGACAAACUUGUACAACCUUCAAGAAUUAGUCUCCUAAGGUUUGGGGCCCCCGAGAAGUCUGGGGUUUCAAUCAGGUGUUGGGAGUAGCUAAGUUUUACGAAUUUCAAUUGCUGAUACAUCUGUCAAAAACAAAACAGAAAAAAUGAUUAUAAUUCGUUUAAAGUGAAAGACGAAACUUGCAAAGAUUAUAAUCAUAUACCUUGAGUCCUUUCCAAAGUUGUUCAACUCGACUGUAACUCAUAUUUAGCUCGACAAGCUGCUCAGGAUGAAAAUUUAAUGGGAGGGAUUUCAGAGGGUAUCCAUGCCAAUAUAGACAUCUUAAGUUGUUCGAUAGAGAUUUGAAGUCUCCAGAAAGAAGCAAUUUACAGUCUUUGAAUUGAUUGAGCUUAUUCAUCCUUGUGCAAGCAUCAGCCAGCACAUAACUGUUUCCAAGAAAAAUAUUCAAAGCUUCCACAUAGCCGCACGUUACAGACUUUGAGCAAUCUUAAUUUGUUCAUCUUCAUGAAGGCAUCAAAACUGAAGUGUAGUUCCUUUGAUGCUGACAAGUCAAGGACUAUGCCUUCAACUACUUCAGUUCCUUGCAAUUAACCAGGAACAGAGUAUGGAUUGGAAAUUAAAAUCACAAAAUUCUAAAAGGAAAAGCACAGAAAGCAUCAAACUAAUGACUUGUUUUCUUGUUUUUUUAGGCAGUGUUCUAGGAAGCAAGUAUGAAGAUAAAAGAAAAUGCAUCUACUAAGACAGAAACUCAGGGAAAAGUUAGCAAAGGAUUCAAAUCAAAUCAUUCCCCCAGCUUUAUAUCUGCCUUUGCAUACAUAAAUAUGCAAUACCUUAUUAAAAUUGUACAUAUAUGUGAGUUUCUCAAAUAAGUUGAAAUUAUUCAAACUUCCUCUUCACCUAUAGAGCUUAUAUAUACAAAAAGGGAACACACACACAAAGUUCAUGUAUUUAGGUCUUACUAUGUUUCUAGUUAAUGCAUCACUAACAUCUUCAUGAAUCCACAAUCUGCUGUGUUUUCCAGGAUAUUUAAGAGAUUCUUGCCAAACAAUUUCCCAACCCAUUUCUUGUAACAAAUCAUGCAUGCACAACUUAUUAUCUGAAACAAUUAUGAGUGACUUAUCAACGAGAACCCUUAUUCCAAUAUCCGGAAAGAAACCACAACUCUCUAGUAUUUCUGUGACAAAAUCUUUGUCCUCCCAUUUUCAAAAGCAUGCAAUAUCGAGAAAUAUAUCUCUUUGUCAUCUAAUCCAUCAAAACCCAUUUUAAGCACGUUCUGAAUUUCCAUGUUGCUAAUUCUUUUUAGUUUGUCCAAUUCACUUUUCCAUUCAAGUAUGCUCUUGCUAUACAAAAAAGCACCUAAGACUUCAAGAGCUAAGGGAAGACCCUUACUAUAAUGUAUUACAUCAUAGCAUAGCUGCAUAUAAUCUUCUCCAGGGUGGUUAUGUUUAAAGGCAUACUGACGAAAGAGUUGAAAAGCUUCACUAUCCUCUAAUCCCCUAACUUCAUAAAUUGCACUGACUCCAUGUGUAACAAGCAAAUGCUUUUCUCUGCUUGUUAUAAUAAUUCUACUUCCUGAACCAAACCAAUCAUGGUUUCCUGCUUAAUAUUCUAACUGUUCCAAGUUAUCCACAUCAUCAAGAACAAUAAGAACCUUCUUAGAGUGGAGCCUAUCCUUUACAAAAUUGAUUCUUGUAUUGGAAAUUCCUACAUUUGGAUUUCCAUCCUUCAAUGUCUUUGAGAGAAGUUCCACUUGUAAAUGAUCUAGAACACAUUUUUGUGAGCCUUCUCUAACACUUGUAAAUGAUCCAAUAAUUGGUUCAAACAGUUCAAAAUUGGUCCAAUAAAUAUACCCUUCAAAAGGAGAAAUUGAACCAGAAAUGUCGCUUGGUGGUUGGAUCAAUUAGACCAACUGAUUUGUUUCAAUUUUCAAAAAAUAUUGCUUUAACAUGUAUGAUAAUCAAAAUAUAGGAAAAAAAACUAUUUACUAAGAAAUGAGAUUAUUAUAACAAAAUAGAAAAUGUAAUCUAUUUUAAUGAUAUGAUGACUUGUAACUAGAUGAAACUUUGACCAGCAAAGAAAAACAAACAAAUCUUGAGGAAUUAGAAAAUAUUAUCUUUUAUAUUAAACUUAUCUUUGUGUAAAAGCUCUCUACAAUUAACUAUGGGUUUUCAUAAAGCUUUAUUUAGGCUAUGUUACAUUCUUGGAAAUUAAAAAAAAAAAAAUGUAAGAAAUUAAUAAAUUAUUUUUUUCAUUAAUAUAAAUUAAAUAAUUAAAAUACCUAAAUUUUUCAAAAUUGUUAAUCAUGGUAGUGGGCCUUUGAUCAGCCAAAGAUAGCCCAUGCAUCAUUUGCCAAAAUUGUUAAUCAUAGUAGUGGGCCUUUGAUCAGCCAAAGAUAGCCCAUGCAUCAUUUGCCAAAGUGAAGCACAACAACCUUAUAAUAGGGAUGUCACAUAGUAAUUCAUUAUUCAUUAUUUUGUUUUCCCUUUUCAAUGUGGAUUUUCUUAAAGCUAUUAAAAAAUCACAUAAUAUCAAGAUUUGAGCAUGGGUCUUUCACAAUAUCUUUUAUAUACUAAUAAUUAUAAAUUAAUUAAAAUGAAAGAAUUAUAAAUAAGUUAAUUUUAAUUAUCUUAUUAUGUCUCUUAUACAAUGAUUUAAUAUAGGACAAAUAUAAAUUUAUAAAUAAAAUUAUUAACAUUUUCAAAUAAAAAAUAUAAAUAUAUAUCAAUAUAUUUUUUAUAUCCUUCAAUAUAUCUAAACUUAAUGCAUUAUCAUUUUAGUAUUAAUGUUUCCCAAUUCGGUAUAUUAUUAUCUAAUAUUACAAAUUUUUUAUACAUUUAUCAAUUUUUCUUAAAACAAUAUCAAUAUAUACAUCAUUAUUUUUCUAUCAUUUUUUGAGUUAUUUCCAACAUUUCAUGAGGUUUUAUCGAUUUCCAUCUCAUAUAUAUAUAUAUAUUUCAGAAUUUUCAUUGAUAUUUGUUUAUAUAUCUAUAAACUAGAACUAAUGAUAUAUCAGUAAAAAUCAAUAUUUUCAUUCUUAUUUAACAUAAGAAAGAAAAUUAUUCAAAUGGUGCAUAAAUUAAUGUGAUCUCCUGAUGAGAAUGACAACAACAACCAUGAGUCAUAGUUAGUGUAUGUGUGUGGUAAAUUAACUUAGUGUUUGAUAAAAUAAUUAUUUAUCAUCAUUUAAAAUUUAAAAAUAAAUUUAAAUAUUAAAUCAAAAUAAUUAACUUAUUCUAAAUACUAAAUUUUUUUAUUCUCUUUGUUCAUAUUUGGUGAUAACCAUGCUUUAUUUUUAGAAUUCUUUUUUUUAGUAAAUAUUUUUUAGUUAUUUUGUAGCUUCACAAUAGUACUUUUUAAUAUAAAUGUUUAACAAGCUUAAGUUUAUGAAGAUAAUUAUUAAGAAAAAUUAAUGAGUUUAAAUAUAUCAAUAUAAUAACUUUAAAAAAAUUAAGUUGAUUUUACCAAAAUUAAAGUAAAAAUAAUUCAUCUUAAAAUUAAUUUCAAUAAUUCGGUAAUAAGGAUUAAGUUGUAUCAUAUACUCUCUUAAUUAAAAAAUGACAUAACUUCUUUCAACAACUUCUUCAUUCUACUUUUGAAAAAAUAAGAUAAAUUAAAUUAAAAAUUAAAGUGAUAUUUAUUUAUUUAUUUAUGUCUAAAAUUUAAUGUACUUGAAUUUGACUUAAAUCUAACUAUAACUUAAUAUCAUUAAGUGUCUAGACUCUUUUUUUUUAUUAGUGUCUAAAUAUUAUUAACCGUUAAAUUGUUUAUUUUUAUUAAUAUCAAAAUAUGUGAAGUGUUAAAUUUAUUUAUUUUUGGUUAAAAACAUUUACAAAAGUAAUUGUUAUAUUUCUUCUUAUUUUAAUUUGAAAAGUUAUAAUUUAACAAAAUAGUAAUUUAAUUAACACAUCUAAAAAUAUUAUAAUACAUUAUCAAAGUAAAAAUUUUAUAAUGAUAAUUAUGUAAUUAGUAAAUAAUAUUAUUGUACAAUCCAUUGUUCCAUGUCGUAUAUUAUAGCAUAGUUGUGCAUACCCAUCAGUGCAUAGACAUAUCUUUUGAUAAUCUAUCAUGAAUGUCUCGUGGACUCUACAGGAAGUAUGUAGCUAUUAUAGUAUAAAGAUGGCGUAGGAAGAGGCUCCAGGUUUAGUAGUUCACACUCAACCAUAGCAAUAGGGAAUAUAUUGCACAUUAUUUCCAUCUAAAAGAAAGAUAGAAAAGACCUUAUAAAUGGAACUUUUAGAUAAAAACUAAGGGUCACAAUGAGAUGACUCUAAGAAGGAUCACCUCAAUCUCAAUCUUAUGUCAUUUAUUUAUAUUAAAUGGGGUGAGAUAAGACAAAAUUAUAUUCGAACCUGUCCUGAACUUGGUCUGAGGCCAAGAAGGGUCUCUAAAAUAAUAAGCCUCAUUGUCAUUCUUAGGUACACAUCUAUACCAAUGAAAGUUUUUACAUCUAUUAAAAAAUUCAAUGUUCCCGAUGUUAAUUAACUUCACUAGACUACAUACACUUAAAAUGCAUGAAAAAAUGUCAAAAUUCUCAACCAAUUAAUGACAUAAACUAAAAUCAAGUUUAGUACAUCAUAACCCUAAAAUACCUCCAAACCCCAUUUCUUGUAAGACCCCCUUCUGAUUAGGUUGCAAAUGUUGAAGUACUUUAUACACUUAAUUAGGUGAACAACAAGUGUCAAGAUAAGACUUCAAGCCAUACAUAUACAUAUGCAUAUAUAUUUAAAAUUGAAAGAAAAUAUUAUCAAAUUUUAAAAAGAUAAAUUUCAAAUUUUUUUUUUACCUUUGAUACAUUUUUUGAGCUUGUACCCUUUUGUUUUACAUAUUCAUUGGAGCAUUUCUUUGACUUCCCAAAGAACUUUUUUUUUUCUAGGACUAAAAACUUUUUUCCUUAAUCGACUUGGGAUAUUAUAUACACCCACAACCUAACUUAGUAGUUUUAAAAUUAAUUGGUUAAAAAGAAUGAAAUAAUCCCAAAAUUUGUAAAUAUAACAAGAUUGUGUUUUUACUUGAAAAGUAGCCCAUUUUGACAUAAAUGUCUUUCGCCAUUUCAAUUAUUUACAUUUAAAUUUAAAAAAAAAGUUAUGACAUUUUUGUCAAAAGAAGGACACAAAAAGAUCAAAAGUUAAAUUUCCAGAUUUAGUUUUUUAAUAGAUAUUUUAAUAAAAUAAACCUUAGUUUUAUAUCACAUAAUGUUUCUUCUUUAUUGUUCUUUAAUCCCUUUUAUUUAUUUAUUUAUUUUAUCAUACACGACCUAUUAAAUUUGAAAAUUUUAACAAUUUCUUGCAGUGCAUGCCUACGUGCUUAUCACAUGAGCUUCUCCAUCUAUACUAGCUAGGGAUCCAUUUGAUAAUUUCUUUUAGUGUCCACAUGCUUAUCACAUGGACCUCUUCACUUCUAUUAAUAGGGGUCCAUUUGGUAUUUCAAAAUAGUUCAAGGGCUUUGCUUAAGAAAAGCUUAGAGACUAGUUCGAAACAAUGUUUUUAGAACCCAACUAGUUAUUGAAUAAAAAAAGUUAUUGAUUCAUUGUCUAGUGGUCAAAUUAAUGUUUGAACUGCAGUCAAAUUGGUGACAUCAUAAAUAUAUAAAUUAUAUAUUAAAAAAAAUUAUAAAAUUAUAAAACUUAUUUUUCAUCUUUGACAUUUCCAAACUUAAAUCAUGAAUAAAUAUAAAUAUAUUAAUAUUUUAAAUUUUAUAAAUAAAAUUUGUGUAACAUUCAUAUGUAAAGAAAUAUAUUUAAAUAGAAUAAAAUUCUUUUGUUCAUAAUUUAUUUUACUUAUAUUAUAUUAUUUAGUUGUAUUACAAAAUUUAAAAUAAUUAUGUUAAUUUAGGUUUAGUUUGCAUUUUUUAAAUUAUAAUCAUUAAUAACAAAGUGGUGAUAGCCUAAACAUGAUCUAAAGGUCCAUGGUUCAAACCCUUGGUUCCUCAUCAUUUUCCUGGUCUCAUUAGGUGGGCUAGGCUUGGUAUGCGAAGGGCUAACCUUCCACCCAUGAUCCAACCUUUUAGUUGAUGAAAAAAGAAGGCUAACCUAGAAUCGAUAGACCAUGGUUCAAAGUUGUGGUUGCGGUCACUAACUUGGAGGGUCUUGCGGCACAUUGGUCUUGACAUCUUAGCUUGAUAUUAGAUGAUAUGUAAAAUAAGAUAAAUAAAAAUUAUAAAAUUAUAAAAUAUUAUAAUAAAUAUUUAAAAAAUAAAUAUAAUUAAAUAAACUUAAAAUUUAAUAAAAUAAAAUAUUAUGAAAAUUAAAAUUGUUCAAUAAAUUUUUAAUAUUGAAAUUGAAAACAAAAACUCUUUAAUUACCAAACUCAAAUUAAAAAAUAAAAUAAAAUGUGAUGAUUUUUACCACACAUUAGCAUUUAAAAAUUGAAACAAUAAAAUAACAUAUAUUAUUGAUACUAUCAUUUAAAACAACAAAUAUAUUGUUGAUAAUGGCAUUUAAAACUAUAAAAUAGUGCAUUAGACCUGCAUUCAAAUCUUCAAUUCUCAAACACCACCAACCCACCCAUGAAUAGAGAAAGAGAAGAGAACCCUAGCAAAAGUAGAGAGCUUCAAUUCUCAAAUCUUCAAUUUUCUUUUUAUGUGUUCAAGUGAUUUUUAUUUGUUAAAUGAUUCCAGCUACUACUUGGGUCUAGUAUUUCCUUGGUGUAUAUAUCAUGCACUUCUCAGUAGAAAGCCCAUAGACUAAUAUAAAGGAGAAACAAGUUUUUAUUUAUUUGCAAUGCCUAAUAUAAAAUUUAAUAAGCACCUAAUUUUUUAUUUCAGCUAUGAAUGAUAUUUUUCUCUAGAUCAUAAGUACGUUGGUUGAAUUAAAAAAAAUUUAUACCAUUUCAGCCACUAAUUAAUAUCAUGCAAUAGAAAAACAAAAUUGAAAUUUGGGAUAAUAAAUAUCAUUAAAGUACAAAGAAAGUAACUUAUUGGGAGCAAAUUCUUCACAACCUGGCAUUCGCCUUUAGAUUGAAUAAUUUAUUAAUAAUCUCCUCUUUCUUUCUAAACUUCACCGCUGUUUAUGAAAGUUUCUAAAAACCAAAGCCCAAAGCCUAGACUAUAAAAAGGAAACAAUCACUUGGAGAGGGGUUGUUUGUUUUUCUUGGGAGCCUAAUAAAUGCAACGGCAUAGACAGAAAGAGGCGGAAGAGUUGAGUCGGAGGAUCAAGAAACACAACCAUUCUUCUCUUUCAUUUCUAUACAUAUCCUUCCAUGCAUUCUCUGGCUCUCCCAUUCUCUUUUUCAAAGCUACAUCUUUCCUCAUAGACCCUGUUUGGUUUCUAAGAAAGUGGUCUAGGUCUCUUUCUUUUUCUUGAUUUAUCUUUGGUUUACAAGAAUCAGGAGUGAAGUAAAGUGGGCUCUUGAUUUAUGUUUGAUUUUUCUUAUUCAAACCUAUGUUUUGAUCUUUUCUCUCCAGCUCUUGUGGUCUAGGUCUAAUAUGCGUUGUGUUUUCUUUCUUUUUUCUUGGUUUUUGUUUGGUUUUCCAAGAAAGUGAAGGAAAAGGAACUCUUUACUCUCUUGGCAUAUUCCACUUAGGAUUGUCCUCCUACAUCCUUUGAUGCUUUAGUGUUUGGUCAUUAGUUGUUUUUAAGCCCUUAUUGAUGGUCCAUUAAGACAUUUUAAAGGGAUUAGGCGGAUCCCUAUCUUGAUUUUAGUGAUUUUUGAAUCUUAGUUUUAAUUGAUUUAUAACAUAUUUAGGCUUGUUUAGAACUUUUAAAAUUCAUAAUUUUGAAUGUGCCAAAUACCCCCUUCCAUCAAUUCCAACUGCAGCAACUGCCAUUCAAAGAUGCUAGCCACAUAUUAAACCCAUGCAUGAACCCCCAGCCAGAUACCCAUUUUUUCCUCCAUCCAUCAACCACCUUCUUACUCCCACCACCGCCACUGCUCACCAUUCCCACUUCUCCUCCACCACCAUGGCCACCACCGCUUCUGGCUCUGUCUUCCUCCUUCUGCUCCUUGCUGCCAGCGCUGCCGUUGAUGGCAGAGUCAUAAGCAACCGCACAUCGUCCACCGGCCUAGUCUCUGACGGCGUCCACGACCACCGCAAUGGUUUGCCUUAUCUUCUUCUCAGGUCUUUUUCGGCCGUUUCAGCCUCGGAUUCAUGUGAUCAUAUAGUAAACCCAAAUGGAAAUCAAACCUUCACAACCCGCUCACCUUUCCGAUGCCCGUGAUGAUCAAGUCUGGCACUCGAAAGAGAGAGGACAACUGGGUCAUCUCCCUCUUCGUGAUCCUCCACAUUGGGCCCUUCUUGCAUCGCCUUGGAUUUGAAACUGACCGGUUUAGAACCAUAACUCCUGCACGCGAGAGAGAUCACCAUAAGCCAUGCAAGGGAGCAUGCCAGUCACGUUCUCUAACUGCCAUGCAUCCGGUGAAGCGGUUUUGCGAGGAGAAGCCUCCAGAAGAGAAUCUUUUCGGUUGCGGGAAUAUAAAGAUCACGCCAGAAAGAAUAAAGAGGGCUGUUCUAGAGACUUCGGAGGAGGAGAGAGGAAAGGAAAACUGACAUAGAGAGUCUCUGUUUCUGGGCGUUUUUUGGAAGAGAGUUCAAAGAUCUUCUUUCUGUAGAAGAUCAUCACAUGCACCGAUUCAAAGAAUUUAGAGAACUUCUCGUUAGAGUCAAGGUUCUCAUCAUUCUAGACCUUCAUGAACAUCUUCUUCACGGCGGCAUUGGCAUCCCGAUUCCUGAACCUCCAUGAUUGAUUGAUCUCCAUCAUCUUCACGAUCGUGCACAAGUUCUGAAAGUAGAGACGUGAAUCUCUUCAUCGUCUUCACUCUCUAUACUUGUAUCUCGAAGGUUAUCCCGGUUUCUAUGUGCAUCGGAUCUCCAUAGGAAAAAUUAGAGAAUGAAUAGAGGUUGACUGUCAGCCCCUUAGACCCUUGACUUAACCAUGGAGGAAUAGGCCUCAUGGGUAGGCCUUGCACCCAUGAAAGCCUAGGAUGAAAGCAGGGAAAUCCUGGAGGUUUGGUGGUUCAAACUCUAGGAGGCAUGUGAGGAGGCCGCAGGUGAGCCAGACAAGCACUGCGCGCGCAUCGCGGGCGAGGCAGACACGCACCACGCGCACACAGUGGGCAAGCCAGACGCGCACCGCGCGCGCACAGUGGGCGAGCUAGACGCGCACCGCAUGCACACCACAGGCGAGCCAGACAUGCACCGCGUGUGCACCAGAUGGGCAUCGCGCGCGCAUCUGACUUAGGUGGUGCAGAUGAAGGCUGAGGGACUUGGAAUUUUAAUUUAUAAUUAAAAUUAUUAUUCCAUUAUGCCUUCUCAGACAUAUUGAUGUCUCCUCAAGAAACAAUGAAAAUGGCUCGUAUUGCUCUUUAAGGGGGGGGGUAGGUGACUCAAAGGAGGGAGCCACCAAGAGAAGCCUUGACCGCACCAAGGGGGCACCAUGGCAUGGCCUUGGGCGUGCCUAAGACACACGACAUGACUCGAGCACGCACACAUGGGCUCCACGACAUGUGUGGUGUGCACCCCAUGGCCGCAACGGCACGGGGCCUGGUGCGGCCUGACCCCUCCCCGUGCAGGCACGAGGGAACCUAAGCCUUGUGCGGUAAGCCAGUUAAUGAAACCAUGGGCACAAUGCCAUGGUCUGAUGGCUCCAAUAGCUGACUCGCAUCAAGAUGCCUACGCAAAGCACAGGGUGCAAUGCCCUGUGCACCAAGAGGGAUCAGUCAUGGGCGCAAUGCCAUGGCUCGUUGCUUGGAAGCUGGGAAGCAAGCAACAAGCCCAAGCCAUGGGCACCUAGACAUGGCAUGGGUUCAUUCAUUAGUGUGGGGAAGGCACACUGAUGCACUAGACGCUUGGUCAAAUGGGUGGAGCACGUUGCCUGGCUUAGAGGGCCUUGAUCAAAGACAUGCUGAUGGGCACCUGGUCACAAGAGGCACCUUACGGGGGAGGGGUCAGCUUGUUAGGGGGACUCACCAGUAGCUUGGCGAGCAAGACCUGAGGAGAUGGCAGUGCAGCUAGCUAGUGGCAGCUAGCUCAGUGACCAAGUCAAGCCGUCAUUUGAACUGCAGUUGGCUGAGGGAUGAUGGCUGGUGCAAGUGGGUGGCAUGUGCAGGCCACUAUCUAGGUGGUGGGUGGUUAUGCAGGGCAGUUGAGGGCGGUUCUGGCCAGUUGCAUAACCACCAAAGUUGGCUUCAAGAUUUGAAUUGGAAAUUCAAAUUUGUAAUUGCAGCUUGAGUCUUUUAAAAGGGCUCCUGCAGCCUUCAAACAGGGAGAGAGAGUUUUGGGGAAAGGGUUCCUUCUCGUAUGCCUUGGGUGAGAGCAUUGUACUCUAGUUCAGGAAGCAAUUUUGUCUUGCAAGAGUGAUUAAUACAAGUUAGGAAAGGAUUCUCGUAACCUCAUGUGUCCCUGUUGCUUUGUUAUUUCUGUGUUCUACUCUGUUUUUCUAAACGUUAGGAUGGAAGGUUGGCUAAGGACUGGUCCUUAGCACCGCGCACUCGUGAAAAAUUCAGUGAGAUAUUCAGGGGUAUGACACUGACCAUGAUUACUAUAUCUAGAUAUAUGUUAUGGAAUAAUGGCAGUUGUAGUAAAUAAUACACAAUGGGUUACAGGAUAAUGUUGAUGCUUGUUGAUUUUUUUAAUAAAUACUACAUAUAGAAAAGUAGAUGUAUAACCAGCCAUAAGUGUUUUUAGUGGCUCUUGAUUACAAGUUAUUGUGCCUUGUUCAUAUGUAUUAUUUUUUUCUUCUACAUGUUUAGUGUUGUCAUUUUAGUUCCAAGUAUAAUAUUCGAUUCCUUAAUUCUAAUCUUUAUUGCCAAUAUUUUCACUUUAUUCAUGAUUUUUUUGAAUACAUGUUAGUUUAGGUUGGGUGUGGACAAUUUGGGCUACGCAUGAGUGUUGUUAGAAUUUGAUAUUUAGGAAACUAAAUGAUUAAAUGUGGAUUGCUUGGUGAAUUAUGAUUGAGAUUGAGUUAUUUUUUUCUCUUUUUAUUCAAAACUUCUUUUCAUCUAAAUAAGUCAUUGGAUAAUCACAUGAUAAUUGGCUUUGAAUAAAUUCUCCUCAUUUUGAUUCUUAGAAAUUUGAUUUGUCUUAAUUUUCUAAAAUAAUUCACACAUGUACAUUUACAUUUUUUAAUAAUCCAAAUUUAAAAAUAUACAUGAACCGUUUUCCUUUUUUGGAAAAUUGAUUUUAUACCUCAUUCAUAACAAGAUCAAUCUUAGUCUCUUUGAUAAUGGAUGGCUUUUGUAUUUAAAACCUAUCUUAGUCUCUUUUAAGUAGAAAAUUUCAAUUUCUAAAAAGAAUAAUGCUGCCCAUUUUAUUUGGUAUGCAACUUUGAAAGGUUUUAAAAUAUUUUUCCCUUAAUCUAGACUUCUUAAAUUUAAUUUUUGACAUAUUAAAUAUUAAGAAAAGAUUUCUGAAAUGAGAGAUAUAAUUUUUUUCUUUUUGACCUUGCUGCACCUAUGCUCCCCUAGAGCUGAAGGAUGUUUACUUAUUUUUAAAUGUGUCAUGAAUGUAACAUUGCCUUGUGAUUAUUAUUUUUUAUUAAAAAUAGACAUGUUAGCUAGUUGUACGAAUUUUUGUAUGAUUUUAGGACAUCUCCAAGUUAAUUAAAAAAAUAAGUUCUUGAGUAUUUUAACAAAAUGCCCUGUUCUGAACCUACUAAUAUCAUUAUGAAAUCUAGUACUAAAUGAGAGCUAAUUGAUAAAUUGGAUGAUAAAGUAGACAUAUAGAAGAUAUUCUUUGAAAAUUUUUGUAAUGAAAUUCAACUUCUAGAUAUUUGUUUUUGAUUUAUUAUAUCCCCUGUUUUGACCAUUUGCUGACUUUUUUUUUUUCUUUUUUUUUUUUUUUUUGUAAAAGAACUCAUUUGUAAAUAAAUUUGACAUUGAUUAUAUAUAAGUUUAGUUUGUAAUUCCUUUUUGAAUUCAUUACUAUUAUUUGUGAGUUAAUCUCAUUUCUAUGAAAAUGCUUUAAGAUGCUAAAACAGGUAUGCAAACCCUCUUUUCAUAAUUUAUUUAAAUUAAAGCUUAUGAUUGAACAUUGUCUAUUAGAGUUUGCUAGUUGUGUUGAGAUUUAUGACUUUAAAUUUGACUUGUUAUGGAAUAUGUGAUUGCUUAGAAUACAAUGUGAUGCUAUUGCUUGUUAUCUAACUUUUGUGUUUUUUGGAACCGCUCAAAUUAGGUAUGCCUUUCUUCAUAUAAUUGAUGAAUUGUAUUGAUGUGUUUUAUUUAGUUCAUAGUAUCCAUGAAUCAACCAAUUGAUCUUCGGAAUUAUUUCAAUUUACUUAGUAGAGACCUAGCUUUUAGGGCUUAGAGGGACGCUAUAGUUCUUCAUUGUACCUUCCUGAUAAGUAAUCUGAUACUCGAACUUAGACUCGGGUUUUCAAAGACAAGCAUUUCUAAAUAAAAAGGAGUCAUUUUCUAGGGUUUUUCUUUCUUAUUUUGUUUGUCAUUUUAAAAAAAUAAAACGAAAAUAAGUGGUGACUCCAUUAUUUAUAAAAUUGGUUUUUCACAAACAAAAAGUGAGUGUUGCCAUCGAGUGAGAAUGCAUGUGAAAAUGCGGGAUCACAAACGGUGAAGUAAAGUGGUUCUUGAUUUAUGUUUGACUUCUGUUUUUUAAACCUCCAUUUUGAUCUUUCCUCUUCGGUUCUGUUUGGUUUCCAAGAAAGUGGUCUAGGUCUAAUAUGGACCAUAGUUUCUUUCUUUUUCUUGGUUUUUGCUUGUGUUUUUCUUUUUCUUGGUAUAUCUUUGGUUUACAAGAAACAGGAGUGAAGUAAAGUAGGUUCUUUAUUUUUGUUUGGUACUUUGGUUUCUCGUUCUCAAACCUACGUUUUUAUCUUUCCUUUUAUGCUCUGUUUGGUUUCCAAGAAAGUGGUCUAGAUCUAAUAUGCACUGUGCUUUCUUUCUUUUUCUUGCUGUCUGUUUGGUUUACAAGAAGCAGGAAUGAAGUGCAGUGCAUUCUUGAUUUCUAUUUGGUUUCGAAUAAAGUGAAGGAAAAUGAUGUCUUGCUUGUUAUAUAAUCAUUGAUAAGACGCCCAGGGUAAGAACCUCAUAUUCCUAAAAACAUGCUUACCAAUGAUUUUGCUUGAGCUCUUAGAAAUAAUCUCAAAUAAUCUCACUUAAAGCUCUCAAAUAGUAAUCUAUGUCCACCAUGAUAAGACAUGAUGAAAUAAGCCCCACAAAAAUAGUAUUUCAGUGCCAUUAUUUGAACCCAAGAUGAGCCCCAUGGCUCUAUCGUUUGCCUUUCUCAAGCAAACCCUACAAAGUGAAGGCUUCUUUUCUAUUAUUUAACUGUGGAGUGAGGUAACCACAAGGGAGAACCAUCAAGUAGACGCUAUCUCUUUUGCUUUCACUCUUUAUCACUGCUUUAAGUCUAAUUAUGCCUUAGAAGUAGAAACUAUGCACUAACCAUUCUCAGGUCCCACAACCCACUAUUCAUAAGCAUCAGAGUGAUGCUGUGCAUGAAGAUACUUGUACAAGGGUUUUAUGUCAUGCAACUUUCGGUGAAUCCAAUAUGUUACGAACUCCACAAAAACAAUAUAUGCCAUGAUGUACACCAAGUAGGCAAACCAGCCAACUUCACUUAUUCUUGAAAAGCACUUUGUCCACCCAUUUUCGACUGCAUACUCUGAAAAUGUUGGGAGAGCAGCAAACCAGGGAAAACUCCUCAUGGAAGCUUUGACGUGCAAAACAAAAAUGCACUAUUGGAAUAACAUGUAAUUAAGAGCUCAAGAAGACAUGCCAUUCCCUAAUGAAACAACGCUAAGCACUAUUGGAAUAAGCACGCAUUUAAACAAAACUGACAUAGAGAGUCUCUGUUUCUGGGCGUUUUUUGGAAGAGAGUUCAAAGAUUUUCUUUCUGUAGAAGAUCAUCACAUGCACCGAUUCAAAGAAUUUAGAGAGCUUCUCAUUAGAGUCAAGGUUCUCGUCAUUCUAGACCUUUAUGAACAUCUUCUUCACGGCAGCAUUGGCAUCCCGAUUCCUGAACCUCCAUGAUUGAUUGAUCUCCAUCAUCUUCACGAUCUUCACGAUCGUGCACUAGUUCUGAAAGAAGAGACGUGAAUCUCUUCAUCGUCUUCACUCUCUAUACUUGUAUCUCGAAGGUUAUCCCGGUUUCUAUGUGCAUCGGAUCUCCAUAGAUGAACUCGGAUUUUGCAUUGAUCUGAAUCUCAAGCAUGCAUUAUUUCCAUAUUGUGCUGCCAAACUUGGUGUUUUUCUUCAUUUAUUCUUCACCACAACAGUUGGACAUAAAGGUUAGUCUCAAUGAAUCUUUACCAUUUGAAUUAGUUUAUUAAUGAUUUUUAAGUUAUUCAUUGAUGAAGUUAAGGCUAAUAGAUGAAAUUGGUUUGUUGAUUUUGAAACUCACGGCUGUUUGUGACAUGCUUUUAUCAAAAUUAGAGAAUGAAUAGAGGCUGACUAUGAUUACUAUAUCUAGAUAUAUGUUAUGGAAUAAUGGCAGUUGUAGUAAAUAAUACACAAUGGGUUACGGGAUAAUGUUGAUGCUUGUUGAUUUUUUUAAUAAAAGCUACAUAUAGAUAAGUAGAUGUAUAACCAGCCAUAAGUGUUUUUAGUGGCUCUUGAUGACAAGUUAUGAUGCCAUGUUCAUAUAUAUAUAUAUAUUAAUUUUUUCUUUUUUUAAUCCUAUCUAUGUUGUUGAUAUUAAUGCAUUGAAUUUGAUGUUACCUAAAACAAAAUUAUAUUCAUGUCCUCUAUUAUAAGUGGACAACCAUUCUUUAUGUUAGAUUUUAGAUAAAGAACGAAUAUUGAAGAUUGGAGUUGUAAGAAAUUAGGAGAUCCUAAUUUUAAAUAUGUAACAAAGUUCUAUAAUCACUUCAAUCCACAUUUAAAAAUUGUAUUUCUUUCUAAAAUGGGAUCAAACUUUUUCCUUCUUUCUUAUAAAUUUCAUUUGGGAAUGAUUUAAAAAUAAAUAAAUAAAAGCCCUUCUAAAUAUUAAAAAAACACUCUCUUAUAAAAUUUAAUUAGGUGGAUGGUUAGGUCAAAUUCGGGAUAGCUUCAUAUUUUUUGCUUUAACUGAAAAUUAAAAUCAAAAUUAAAGUAAUAAUUUUUAAGAUGUUGUAAAAGUUAUAUUAAACAUGAAAGAACUUAUUGUGUAAACAAAAAUAGAAUUAUAGAAUUCUUAUAAGAAAUAACAUUUUUAUGACUUCUAUAUGAAACUUUUUAAAAAAUUUAUCAGUUUUUCUUUUUAAAAAAUAAUUAAAUAGGUAUAAAAAACUUUUAUUCAACUUAAUUUUUUUUAACUCUUGAAAGUAAAUCCAAAUAAAAUUUAAAUAUAUUUGAAAAUCAUUUUCAAAAAUCCAAAAAAUCACCUAAAAAUAAUUUCAAAUUUUUUUUAUUUACAUUUAAAUACUAAGUGAUUCUUUUAAAAAUCAUUUGUAAUGUCAAAAUAUUUUUUUAUGGAUAAAAAUAUUACAAAUAAAAAACAUUUCAAUCACAAUUAAUUUAUUUUUAAUUCAUGAAAUUUCAUUUAUUGUUACUUAUUUUUUGGGAUUUAAUUCUUUACAAUUAUUUUUGAGUGUUUACAUAGAAUAAUUAGGUUAUGCCCAAAUUUAUUCCUUUAACUCUAUCCAUCAGAUAUAAGUAUCGUGAAAUUUUGGCCUGUCUCCACCUUUCUUCGCUUUUGACAUUGUCAUGCACUGCUUCCUCAACUCCAAACACAACCGCUGAGGAUCGAAGAAAAUGAGACAAUGGUCAAUGAAUAAUUUAUUAAUUUUUUUCUUAAUUUAAUAGCAUUGGAAUGUCAGUUGGAACAAACCAUUUGAUGAUCUUUUUCAUAAGUAUCCAUUUAGAUCAUAGUCUUUUUAAAAUAUUAGAAUAAAUCAAUUAGUCUAAGCUAUAUCAUUUAUAAUUUUUUUAUUAUUAAUAUGAUACCUAUCCUUUCACGGAAUUGAAAUAAAAUAUGAAUAAUUAAAAAAUGUCAACUAUCCAUGAUAUUUGAUACCAAACUUUUCUAAUACAACAUGAUAUCAUGUUGAAUGAAAUGGGAAUCACCAAAUGUUCUCAAAUCAAAGAUAUAUCUACAGGGGACACGUCAAAUUCUCUUUUUAUAAUCAAAGGCUUCCAAAAAAAUUCAACCAUAGCAUAUCUCAAAGAUUAGUCAAAUUCCAUUAUUUUUAUAGACUUCUAACAAUUCAAGAAAUUGACAUUAAUAAUCCCAAACACAAUAUUCUGCAACUUUACAUUAUUCUUUUUAUUGUAAUUGAAGAGGAAUACCAACUUAGUCAAAUAGAAAAUAAAUCAUGAAAGCUGAAUAAUACAAAUAUUCAGUGAAAUCUUUGGCAUGUUAUUUCUUUGCAGCUUCAACAUGGUGGCAUGUCGGAUGGAGGAGGCAGCAUUUGAGCUUCUGGGUGUUUACCAUUUUUCACUAUGAAUGCAGUUUCCAUGCCCCAAGUCACAUGGCGUUCUACAUGGCAAUGCAGGAACCACACUCCUGCAACAGAGAAAAUAUAUCGAGAUUACACCUAACUUAAUUGUAAUAUUAAAAAAAAAUUAUUUCAUUGGUAUGCAAGUUGGCAGUAUCAAGGGUUUUUUUCUUUAAUAGAGGACAUGAGUGCUUGCAACGUACCAGGGUUGGAUGCCUUGAAUCUGAUUGCAACCCAACCUUUCGAAGGAACAGAGAUGGUAUUCUGAAGGGGAGGAUCCACCAAAUUAUAGUGCAAAGGGUCCCUAUUUUCAUCGAAAUUCCUAAAUCCCCAUCCAACAACAUAGAAACUGUAUCCAUGGAGAUGCAUAGGGUGGUGUGUCUCUGCAAGCACGGCUGUCCCUUGAAGAACAAUCUCCACUGUGGAGUUAUACUCGAGCACCCUUACUUCUGUUCCACUGCUCGGCAACUGAUAGAUUAAUGGAAGAUAAUCAUAUGUAAAAUCGAAC